Long non-coding RNA from Pseudophryne corroboree (corroboree frog), 321 nucleotides. RefSeq lists it as uncharacterized. The transcript is spliced from 3 exons. NCBI's taxonomy places the organism in Eukaryota, Metazoa, Chordata, Amphibia, Anura, Myobatrachidae. The record is from RefSeq and is a predicted model, not a curated record.
UUCAGAAUUACUCUAAAUUUCAAAAAGGUUAUACCCAGUGGAUAAUCAGUGAAAAGGGUUACUUCCAAUUCAAUUUAAAUUGAUACCCCAUAUGGUGAAAUUUGGUCCGAUACUAUUUUAAGCAUUGUUAAAUUGCCUUUUUGAAGACACGAUAAGAUGUAUGUCCAUAUUGUGAUUCUUUGAUUAAUACACCCCUGAUGAAGUCUGUAGGACGAAACGCGUUGGAUUAGCACAUUGUUCUCUGACAUCUCUACAAAGAAGAUCAUUUUGAUGUUGUUUGAAUUACCAACACAACUAUCGUCUGUACAAACAUUGUUUAUU